AUUCAGCUGACGAGUUCCAAAUGGAAGGAAACAGGCGUCUUGAAU
Molecule: non-coding RNA, 45 nt
Filed under: Schistosoma margrebowiei
Lineage: Eukaryota; Metazoa; Platyhelminthes; Trematoda; Strigeidida; Schistosomatidae
Source: RNAcentral